This 301-nucleotide ribosomal RNA is filed under the name uncultured bacterium. RNAcentral describes it as "partial 16S ribosomal RNA". It matches the Rfam family "Bacterial small subunit ribosomal RNA", at positions 509 to 807 of the family's 1533-position model. The record is from RNAcentral.
CAGUCGCCGCGGGAAUACGUAGGUGGCAAGCGUUGUCCGGAAUUAUUGGGCGUAAAGGGCUCGCAGGCGGUUUCUUAAGUCUGAUGUGAAAGCCCCCGGCUCAACCGGGGAGGGUCAUUGGAAACUGGGAAACUUGAGUGCAGAAGAGGAGAGUGGAAUUCCACGUGUAGCGGUGAAACGCGUAGAGAUGUGGAGGAACACCAGUGGCGAAGGCGACUCUCUGGUCUGUAACUGACGCUGAGGAGCGAAAGCGUGGGGAGCGAACAGGAUUAGAUACCCCCGUAGUCCCUGUCUCUUAUAC